GGUGGCUCAGUGGUAGAGCGCUUGCCUUGCAAGCAUAAGGCCCUUGGUUCAAUUCCUCAGCACCA
This 65-nucleotide transfer RNA is filed under the name Dipodomys ordii (Ord's kangaroo rat). It matches the Rfam family "tRNA". Rfam says of the family: Transfer RNA (tRNA) molecules are approximately 80 nucleotides in length. Their secondary structure includes four short double-helical elements and three loops (D, anti-codon, and T loops). Lineage: Eukaryota; Metazoa; Chordata; Mammalia; Rodentia; Heteromyidae. The record is from Rfam by way of RNAcentral.